Papilio machaon (common yellow swallowtail) is the source of this 72-nucleotide non-coding RNA. NCBI's taxonomy places the organism in Eukaryota, Metazoa, Arthropoda, Insecta, Lepidoptera, Papilionidae. The record is from Rfam.
GGUAAGUGGCUCAGGGGUUGAGCACUUGACUUGCAAUCUGAAGGUCCUGGGUUCGAAUCCCGCCAUGUACCA